This 3334-nucleotide long non-coding RNA is filed under the name Homo sapiens (human). RNAcentral describes it as "HSALNT0116914". Lineage: Eukaryota; Metazoa; Chordata; Mammalia; Primates; Hominidae. The record is from RNAcentral.
CUUGGUGCGAGGUCCUGCAGCUGUGCUCCCCCCUGCCAGAAGCAGUCCCUGCAAGAAUGCUCACAUCCUCCAUUCCUCACCUCCCGAUGAGGGGAGGUUUAUGACCCUGGAGAGCAGGUGGCAGGCCCUGAGUACAGCUUGGCGAUUGGGACUGAGUGAGUGACGCACUUCUCCUUCACAGACCAGUCUCUCCCACACAAGGCCACAUCCUGGGCACCACUCAAGUCAGCACGUCAAAGAGACACCUGUACUCCCCCGUUCACCACAGCACCACUCACAAAGGCCAAGACACGAAAUCAACCCAAAUGUCCAACACUGGAGGAGUGGGCAGAGAUAAUGUGGUGGAUAUGUAUAGACAAGAGAAUACUACUCAGCCGUAAAAAGACUCCACUCCUGUCAUCUGAAGCAGCACGAUGAACAAGAAGGACAUUGCAUCAUGUGAAAUAAUCUAGAGAGGAGCUCCAAGUGGCAGAUAUGACUGCUCGGCUCACUGGUCUAUCCCAAAUGCUGAGAACACAUGGGAGAGAUUGCUGCACGACAGAGUGAAUUCUUCUGAGGCAUCCAGGGAGAGAAACUGCAUCCUAUGGCCACCACGACCACAGACCCACGGGAAUACUGCCAGGCCGCUGCCAGUGCUCCCUUCAAGCCCAGGAACUCUUCAGUCAGCUUGUGGUGAAUGCUGCCUGGCCUGGCACUCACCCUUUCAGGCAGGGGGCUCCCCUCUGGCCCAGGACAGGUCCAGAAAUGCUGCCUGAGAGCCAAGGCCUGGAAUUGAGACCCCAAGAGCCCGCUUGGUGCUCUGUCCCACUGUGGCUGAGCUGGGACCUAAGGUGCAAGACAAAGUCCCCUUUAUUUUUUCUCUGUUUUUCUCAAGCAGAAGGAGUCUUGCCCUGUAGCCACCACAGCUGGGAAUGUGCCAGGUCACACCUGAAGCCAGCACGUCUCUGAGUCUCACCCAAGGCCUGAAACUCCUGGGUAUCUCUACCGCUCCUUCAGGGCCCAACGGCUCCUCUGUCAGUAGGUAAUGGCUCCUACUUGGACCACGUCCUUCAACAGGGCACUUGUUGUUUUUUUUUUGUUUUGUUUUUUAUCCUAAGACAGGGUCUUGCUCUGUUGCCCAGGCUGGAGUGCAGUGGCAUGAUCUUGGCUCACUACAACCUCCACCUCCCAGGUUCAAGCAACUCUCCUGCCUCAGGGCGGUGCUCUUGUGCUGAGACAGCUCUGGAAAGUGUGGAGUUUCCAGCUGGGCUGGGGCUUUUGCCCAACAUGAUCAGGCUGAGCUGGAGCAGCCUUGAUCUCAGAUGUGGGUCUAUUCAAGGGCAGGUUCACCACGGUGCCAAGGAAAGAUGCCUGAGGACACCUGAGUGGCCUCAUUCUACACCUUCCUGAUGGCAGUGGCCUCAUUCUGCACCUCCUGAUGGCAGUGGCCUCAUUCUGCACCUUCCUGACGGCAGUGGCCUCAUUCUGCACCUUCCUGACAGCAAUGCAGCCCCCAACGGUGAUCCAUUUUUUCUGAAUAUGCAAAAAAUAUCAACUCCAUAAAAGACUCGUGUCUAGUUAAUAAUCCAAACAGGAUUGAGAAGUCCUGCUUUGGAAAUGAGAAGAGAGGAAGUGUCCCCAGGGCUUCGGUCCUGGCAGGCAUAUCCAUUAUGGCUCCACUCGCUAAAUGAACAGCCUGGCUCACAGCAGGCCCUAGACCAUCCUAAACCCUUCCAUUAAUCAAAUUGCUUGGAUUAAAUAGAACAGCAAAGCAGUGAUCUUGAGAAUGAUCUAAUAAUAUUGUGAUUGCUUUGAAGAUUAAGUGAAAAUAUCAAAGGAGGUUAACCUAAUCUCCUUCCCACCCCAAAUGUAAAUAUACAGUAUUGGAUUCCCACUGAGAACUGGGAACCUUUUGGGAGGUGGCUCCACUAAUCACUCUUCCUGUGACAAUCUAGAGAGCCUAAUUAAAGAUUCUAGGGGCUGGAGAACAUUGGCUCUUGGGAACAUGUGGGCAGCAGGAAACUGAGCUCUUUUGGAGUGGCUGUGAUGGGCGUUCCCAGGCAGGACUGCCCACUUUCUCUGGGUGGACUGGAUGGAAGCUUUGAUAACCGCAUGUGAAAAGCACUGCAUCUAUUUUUCUUCCUCUAUACAUUUUCUACCAGAGGUUCACGCAGACUCAGGGAGGUGGUUUCUAUCGUGGAAGAUCAGGUUUCCCAAAUGGUGUGCAGAAUAUCCGGGACUCAUUCUUCCAAUCCUGCCUCAUACAGACUGAGAACUUCUAAUUCAAAAUGCUUGGGACCAGAAGUGUUUCAGAUUUCAGAGUUUUUUCAGACUUUUGAAAUAUUUGCAUAUACAUAGUAAAAUAUCUUGAGGGUCCAGCACAAGUCUAAACAUGAAAUUCAUGCAUGCUUCAUGUACGCCGUGUACACAUAGCCCAAAUGCAUGCUUCAUGUACACCUUAUACACAUAGCCUAGAGGUAAAUUUAUACAUUUUACAUCAUUUGAGACAUAAAACAAAAUUCAUGUACAUCAAACCAUCAGGAAGCAAAGGUGCCACUAUCUCAGCCACAUAUACGGAUAAGCUGGGAAUAUUUCACAUCACCAUCUCUCCUGGCUCUGAAUUUAUCUGCUACCAAUAAGCAGUCCUUUCCUCACGCUUACUUACACAGAGUACGUGACAGUAAGGAACACUCCAUCCCAUUAAAACAGUGAAGAGUAACGAGUCCAGGGUUAGUAGCAGCAUGGUGGCAUCAGCCAUCAGACAGCAGCUGCAGGGAACAGCGGCAUCUUCAGUAUCCACCAACAGUGCUGGGCUUGGUUAAAAGGUGACCAUACGCUGGAGCCCCCUUGCUGAAUAAACGGUGUGUUUUGCACCUGUGUUUUGACUGUGACCUGUCACAUGAAGACAAUGCAGAAUUCUUUGCUUGUGGCGGCAUAUCUGUGCUACAAAAUUUUGGGAUUUUGAGCAUUUCGGAUUUUGAAUUUUCAGGAUGCUCAGCCUGUGGUAGACACUAAACUAAUAUUUGUCAUGUUGAACACGCAUGUGGUGAGUGCCGACUGCAUCUGAAGCACAUGCACAGACCACAUGUGAAGUCUUGCCGACUUCAGAGUUCAGGAGCCUAGCAAGAGGUGAGAGAAACACAAACAACAUAAGUCAAAAGUGACGUGAUACGAGGUCAGGAGUUUGAGACCAGCCUGGCCAACAUGGAGAAACCCCGUCUCCACUAAAAAUAGAAAAAUACAAAAAUUAGCUGGGUGUGGUGACACAUGCCUGUAGUCCCAGCUACUCAGGAGGCUGAGUCAGGAGAAUCACUUGAACCCGGGAGGCAGAGGUUUCAGUGAGCCAAGAUCGCAC